Long non-coding RNA from Solanum pennellii, 1608 nucleotides. RefSeq lists it as uncharacterized. The transcript has 2 exons. The record is from RefSeq and is a predicted model, not a curated record. Lineage: Eukaryota; Viridiplantae; Streptophyta; Magnoliopsida; Solanales; Solanaceae.
AAUUUUCAGAAUGAUUUGGUCUUAAGGGAUCCUUUUAUUGUUCAUUGUAUUUUCUGACAAGUCGUUGAGAUUUCGCCAUAAUUUGACAAGUUCACCACCAAAAAAAUCUGAAAUUUCCCUUUCUUUUUGCUUCUUUUUUCAGUAAAUCAGUGACUCAAGUGAGCAGCGGCCACCCAAGGCAACCUCCAUCUUCUCCCCUUGCUGUCAGAUUCAUUUCCUCUCCACCAAAACCUCACUAAACAACUCCAUCCCCUUCGUCUUUCGAUCCAUUUUUUGUGAGCUUCCACCACCCAACCAAUCGCCUGAAGCAUCUCUCUCCAACAGCAGCAAACAGCAGCCUAUACCUCAUCCAUUUGCUCUCCAAAACAACCUUUAAACACCCAACAACAGAUCCAAAACGAGAUCAUCAGCUCAACAAUACCAACUCAAAACUUCUCUUAUUUUUCUUUACCAGCAAAAUUCGACCCAAAUCCCUCUUCGUUUUUCCAUUUUCCGGGCAGUAGCUUCGGUAAUCCAAGCAUGCUCAAGGCUCAUCACAACAACCAGCAAACCAACAACCAACAAACGAGUCCAAGUUUCGACUCCAUCGAACCCACAAAACAUUCAGAUCCGGCAAGAAAACAUGAACUCCAAUUAGCAACAAAAUUAGAGCCUCAUAAAUCAGAGCUCCAAUAAUCUUUUCACUUUCAUCAAUGUUGUAGGUAAUUGCUUUUUCAAGUAACCCACUUAACUGUGAAUAUUAUCUUUUCAUCAUUUAUCUAAUUGUUUGUUUUGAUAAUGGUCUUGUCAUUAUGUUUUUGAAAAUAUUGAUUGGGUUUGUGAUUUACUUCUCUAUUUAGAGUAAUUUUGUUAUAUGAUAUGGAUACACUAUUUUACUAUUCUAUUUUUAUUUUUUCAUUUUCAAUGACUUUAGAUUUGACUUUCUUAUUUUUAUUGUAGCUGCUUAAUUUUGUUCAUAUAUGAUUAAUGGUUGCUAAUUUAUUGAAGUUAAUUGUUUGCAUUUUAAGAGGUUCUCAUAAGCUUUGUUAUUUUGUUUAUCACAUGGUUAAUAUUGUUAUUUUAUUUGGUUAUCUUUUGGGAUAUUACAUGUUGCAUUGUCGUCCAUUUUGUUAGUCUUAUAUGAUAGUGUUGAAGUUAUUUUCAUUUGUUAUUAUUUUCUAUUUUUUAAUUAUUGAUUUGUGAUAUCUUCUCUUAGGUAGAUCCUGUUAGGAAAAUCUAAGAUUUUAGUGGGUCUUGCUCUUGAUGUUAAAUUUGAUUGUAUGCACUUUAGUAUUAUUAUCUUUUAGAAUUUUCUAGGGAGUAAUGUCAUUGCACUUAGGUUAUUGUUUUUUUUUUUAGGUAGUGCAUAUUAUUUUAUAAUAUUAUUUGUGAGUUACAUGAAAUAUAUAAAUUGAAGUGACCAAUGAAAAAAAUCUCUCCAUCAGUUUUGGAGGCCUCCACAUUGUAAAAGAUGAAAUUUUAGUUUAAGUUUAUAUAUUGAGUUAAAAAAUUAGUCGACGAAGAAAUUACUGUCGAUUUUCAAGGCCUUCCAUGUUAAUAAGAUGAACUUUUUAUUUUUAAGUUAUUAUUUACUUCAUUUAUUUUUAUCAUAUAUAUUUGGUGCUAACA